RNAcentral lists this ribosomal RNA (253 nucleotides) under uncultured bacterium. RNAcentral describes it as "partial 16S ribosomal RNA". It matches the Rfam family "Bacterial small subunit ribosomal RNA", at positions 524 to 776 of the family's 1533-position model. The record is from RNAcentral.
UACAGAGGGUGCGAGCGUUGUUCGGAAUUAUUGGGCGUAAAGGGCGCGUAGGCGGUUCUUCAAGUCUCUCGUGAAAUCCCUCGGCUUAACUGAGGACGUGCGGGAGAUACUGAAGGGCUUGAGUCCGGAAGAGGGUGGUGGAAUUCCCAGUGUAGCGGUGAAAUGCGUAGAUAUUGGGAGGAACACCGGUGGCGAAGGCGGCCACCUGGGCCGGAGCUGACGCUGAGGCGCGAAAGCGUGGGGAGCAAACGGG